UGGUAACCUGCCUCAAAGAGGGGAAUAGCCUCCCGAGAGGAGAUUAAUACCGCAUAAUAUGUUUAGGUCGCAUGACUUUAACAUCAAAGGAUUUUCUUAGGAAAUUCCACUUUGAGAUGGACCCGCGGCGCAUUAGCUAGUUGGUGAGGUAACGGCUCACCAAGGCAACGAUGCGUAGCCGACCUGAGAGGGUGAUCGGCCACAUUGGAACUGAGACACGGGUCCAGACCUNUACCGGGGAGG
RNAcentral lists this ribosomal RNA (243 nucleotides) under uncultured bacterium. Its description in RNAcentral is "partial 16S ribosomal RNA". It matches the Rfam family "Bacterial small subunit ribosomal RNA", at positions 119 to 347 of the family's 1533-position model. The record is from RNAcentral.